GCUCGUAGUUGGAUUUCGGGUGGGGCCUGCCGGUCCGCCGUUUCGGUGUGCACUGGCAGGGCCCACCUUGUUGCCGGGGACGGGCUCCUGGGCUUCACUGUCCGGGACUCGGAGUCGGCGCUGUUACUCUGAGUAAAUUAGAGUGUUCAAAGCAGGCCUACGCUCUGAAUACAUUAGCAUGGAAUAACACGAUAGGACUCUGGCCUAUCCUGUUGGUCUGUAGGACCGGAGUAAUGAUUAAGAGGGACAGUCGGGGGCAUUCGUAUUUCAUUGUCAGAGGUGAAAUUCUUGGAUUUAUGAAAGACGAACUACU
RNAcentral lists this ribosomal RNA (313 nucleotides) under Chlorella vulgaris. RNAcentral's name for it is "SSU rRNA". It matches the Rfam family "Eukaryotic small subunit ribosomal RNA", at positions 626 to 944 of the family's 1831-position model. Lineage: Eukaryota; Viridiplantae; Chlorophyta; Trebouxiophyceae; Chlorellales; Chlorellaceae. The record is from RNAcentral.